RNAcentral lists this ribosomal RNA (262 nucleotides) under uncultured bacterium. RNAcentral's name for it is "partial 16S ribosomal RNA". It matches the Rfam family "Bacterial small subunit ribosomal RNA", at positions 793 to 1055 of the family's 1533-position model. The record is from RNAcentral.
GUCCACGCUGUAAACGAUGAAUACUAGGUGUGGGGACUGACCCCUUCCGUGCCGCAGUUAACACAAUAAGUAUUCCACCUGGGGAGUACGAUCGCAAGAUUGAACUCAAAGGAAUUGACGGGGCCCGCACAAGCAGUGGAUUAUGUGGUUUAAUUCGACGCAACGCGAAGAACCUUACCGGGAUUUGACAUCCUACUAACGAAGCAGAGAUGCAUUAGUUGCCCUUCGGGGAAAGUAGAGACAGGUGGUGCAUGGUUGUCGU